GAGUCGUUAGCUCAGUUGGUAGAGCAACGGACUUUUAAUCCGUGAGUCGACGGUUUA
RNAcentral lists this transfer RNA (57 nucleotides) under Lactobacillus crispatus. Its description in RNAcentral is "tRNA-Lys". It matches the Rfam family "tRNA". Rfam says of the family: Transfer RNA (tRNA) molecules are approximately 80 nucleotides in length. Their secondary structure includes four short double-helical elements and three loops (D, anti-codon, and T loops). The record is from RNAcentral. Lineage: Bacteria; Bacillati; Bacillota; Bacilli; Lactobacillales; Lactobacillaceae.